This is an RNA transcript of Amaranthus tricolor (Joseph's coat), 2706 nucleotides long. It is a transcript of the gene named FRIGIDA-like protein 3, with no coding region annotated. The record is from RefSeq and is a predicted model, not a curated record. The transcript has 5 exons. NCBI's taxonomy places the organism in Eukaryota, Viridiplantae, Streptophyta, Magnoliopsida, Caryophyllales, Amaranthaceae.
CUUGGAAUUCUAGGGGGUCAAAACACAAUUUUCAGAAUAGCAAUGAACUUCAAAACACUACAUUACUCCCCUUCUCUCUACUCUGAAAAAAAAAACUAAAAAAAUUCUACUCAACAGCCGUCAUUCAGCCCCUGCCGCCUGCCACCCUCCCCGUCACUACCUGCCGCCGGUGGCCUAGACGCUGCUUUCUGGCGCUGCCCAUGCUCGCUCCUGCUCACGCCUCACUUCCUUAGUCGAAAGUCGAGGGUCGACUGUACUCUACUCCUCUUUACAAAAACCCUAAAAAUCAAAUUUUUGAUUUUUUUAGCCUUUGGAGAACAACUGCUCAGAAAUGAUUGAUGCUGAAAAAGUCUCUGAGAUCAAUAUGGCAUCCUCUGUUGAGUUGGGUGCAUCACUGCUAGAACAACUUGGUAAUGCAUUUGCUGAGUUGAAUAAUAACGAGAUUGGUCCUGGCAACCAGGUCCCAUGGAAUGAUGUUGAAGCACAUUUCCGAAACUUGGAGUCAUUGGUGAAGAAGAAACUUGAAGAAGUUGAAGCCAAGGAGAAGGAAUUUACGGAGAGGAAAACUCGCAAUCACAUGGUUCUUGCUGAGAGAGAGGUAGCUGUUGUGGCAAAGGAACAGGAUUUGCUUGAUAAGUUGCAAGAACUAAAAGAUGCUGCUUUGGCUGCCAUCUCUGAAGCUAGGGAAAAAAUUGUUCCAGAAUUUUUGGAUGCCGACGGAAAUAAGGUAAGCUGCUCUGUUGAUGAUGAAAAUGCAUCACUUGACACCCAAGGAAAAUCCCCUCGAAAUAUGGGGGAAGGUGUUGAAGGUGCUGCUGUGGAGGUUAAUCCUCUUGAAAAGCUGACACAAUUUUGUGAGCAGAUGGAUUCUAUAGGACUCCAAAACUUUGUCGUGGAAAACCUAAAAAAGGUUUCUUCUUUCUGGAAAGAACAGCUGUCAGUUGCACUUGGUAGUGCGACUGAACCAGCCCGUUUGGUGCUUGAUGCACUGGAGGGAUUCUUCCCUCCAACAGAAAUAACUCAAGAGGGGGAUGCUGCCCUCCGUGGCAUGCGUCAAUCUUGUUUAAUCCUUAUGGAGGCCCUGUCUGCCAUUUUAUCAAAGGCUGACUAUGCUGCAGACAUUUUUACCCCUGAAAUCCAGCAGCAGGCCAUCUCUAUUGCCAAUGAUUGGAAGCUUAAGCUGACUGGCGAAAGCGGUAAUGCUAUUACCAAUGGAAAAUCAUUGGAAGUAGAGGGAUUUCUGUGGCUUCUUGCAACCUUUAGGAUUGCCUCUGAGUUUGAUGCUGAAGAACUCUGCAAAUAUGCUCUUGCAGUUGCUAGUCACAGGCAGGCUACUGUGCUCUGCCGCUCUCUUGAUUUGACACAAAAGAUGCCAGGUGUGGUUGAGACAUUGAUUGAAAAGGGGAGACUGAUUGAUGCCGUUCAUUUUAUUCAUGCAUUUGAUCUCUCUGAAGCUUUCCCUCCUAUUCCUCUGUUGAAAACAUACUUAAAGGAGAUCAGAAGAAACUCACAAGGAAAUGGGAGUAUUGCAUUACAGAAUAGUUAUAAUGCACGAGAACUUGCAGCAAUAAAUAAUGUCAUUGAAUGUGUUGAACAAUAUAAACUUGAAGACUCCUACCCUCUUGAUCCGCUCUAUAAAAGGGUUUACCAGCUGGAUAAAACUUCAAAACUUGAUAAAAAGAGGUUAUUUGGAUCCAGUAAACAGAAUCAACAGCAAAAAAGGCCGAAAUCUGAUGGGGGAUCUCAGGACCGACGAGCUCGAGGCUUUGGUCGUGGUAGACAUGGUCCACCACCAUCUGGGACAGCGUAUAAUGGAGUUGCAGAGAGGCAAAUUCCUACUGUGCCGGGUCCCUAUAGCUAUCCAGUAUCUUCACAAGCUCUCUAUAAUGCUCCCACAAAUGAUCAAAGCAUGUCAUACUAUCCUCAAAAUCCCGUAUCUACAGGACCUCAUUAUGCGGCAGCCCCAACCUAUGCGGCAGCCCCAACCUAUGCAGCAGCCCCAACCCAUGUGGCAGCCCCAACCUAUGCGGCAGCCCCUACCUAUCCUUCUUAUCAGCAAGCACCACACCAACCACAGGCCUAAGAUGCAGACGACUAUGUCUUUAGUAUUUCGCACAGGAACACUUCAUAGGUCAGUUUUAACAGGUAUCAUACAUUCAUACUCCUACUCCACUGCCUCUUUAAUUUUCACCUUAUUUUCUUAAAAGUUUUUACAUGAGGAAAUCUUAUGGGGAGAACUUAGAUCCAUGCUGUUAGGAUAUUACAUAUUGGUUUAUGUCAGAACUCUGCAGUUAGCUAGUACGAGAUCUGGUUUGCUGCUGCUUUUUGCAGAUUAUUUUCUCUGGAAGUUUUAUGCAUAUUUUCUUGUGUAGAAGAUUUGCCCCCGGAUAUUUGGGAGAAAUUGUUAAAUGUAUGCACAAUGCAAGACUUCAAGAAACUGCAAUUACCAUGUCAAAAAUGUGCAUUGAUUGCAAAGUAAUAGGAACGAAGAUUUUGAAUAUGAUGAUAAUGGAGAUUUCACAGCUGAAAGAAUUUUUCUUAUUUUUAUUUUUAUUAUUUUUAUAGCUUUUUGUAGGGUCAUAUGAUGUGUUGUAUGAAAAGCUAUUGUUAUAGAUUUUAUCUUAAUAUCAGUGAUUGCCCUUUUAUUUUUGUAUCCAAACAUAUGAAAUGAAUGUUUUUAAGAAUUAAAAGUAGACAUUUUUAUAA